RNAcentral lists this ribosomal RNA (492 nucleotides) under uncultured bacterium. Its description in RNAcentral is "partial 16S ribosomal RNA". It matches the Rfam family "Bacterial small subunit ribosomal RNA", at positions 29 to 507 of the family's 1533-position model. The record is from RNAcentral.
AGUGGACGCUGGCGGUAGGCCUAACACAUGCAAGUCGAACGGCAGCACAGUAAGAGCUUGCUCUUACGGGUGGCGAGUGGCGGACGGGUGAGGAAUACAUCGGAAUCUACUUUUUCGUGGGGGAUAACGUAGGGAAACUUACGCUAAUACCGCAUACGACCUACGGGUGAAAGCAGGGGAUCUUCGGACCUUGCGCGAUUGAAUGAGCCGAUGCCGGAUUAGCUAGUUGGCGGGGUAAAGGCCCACCAAGGCGACGAUCCGCAGCUGGUCUGAGAGGAUGAUCAGCCACACUGGAACUGAGACACGGUCCAGACUCCUACGGGAGGCAGCAGUGGGGAAUAUUGGACAAUGGGCGCAAGCCUGAUCCAGCCAUACCGCGUGGGUGAAGAAGGCCUUCGGGUUGUAAAGCCCUUUUGUUGGGAAAGAAAAGCAGCAGGUUAAUACCCCGCUGUUCUGACGGUACCCAAAGAAUAAGCACCGGCUAACUUCGUG